UUUAAAAAACUAAUUUCACUACUGUUGUUUACUCCGUAAGUCUUUCCUUUUGGCUUAUUGAAAUCAUAGCAUCUAAUAAUCGUCUUGAUGAAAAGAAAUGUCAGGUAACUUUCUGUGGAUCUCUGACACAAACAAGCUAAACUGGACAAAGUAACUGAUACUUCUCCUGCUAUAUUCUUCCCAGAUACUCCAAUCACGCAUGACAAAAGCAAUUUAUUCAGAUUCACAUUUCCACUACAAUUCUAUGCCUUUUAUCAUUGUUUCUAACGUUCUGUGUUCUGGGUCCCCGUCAGCUUGGUGAGCUAGCCUUUUUUAGUUAUGAACUUCUCCAGGAAUAAAGACAUGUGGAGGCUAGUAUUUUUGUUGUUUCUUGGCCAAGUGGUUUCUUUUGUAAUGGCAUUAAUGAGCUUCACCUCUUCAUUGAUAGCCAGUCUUGGUGCAGAUACACCUCUUACUCUAUCAUUCUUCUCUUACUCGGCCUUGACUUUGGUGUAUGGAGGCAUCUUGAUUUACAGACGACAGAAACUGCUGGUCCCUUGGUAUUGGUAUCUUCUGUUAGGUUUUGUUGACGUCCAAGGGAAUUAUCUUGUUAAUAAAGCAUACCAGUAUUCAUCAAUUACCAGCGUGACAAUCCUGGAUUGUUGGACAAUAGCAUGGGUAAUCAUUCUGACAUGGACAUUCCUCGAUACCCGGUAUAGCCCCUGGCAGUUCUUUGGUGCAGCUGUCUGUGUGUCUGGUCUCGUUGUGGUUCUUCUUUCUGAUGCUGCGGUGGGUGGUGGAGGUGGUUCAAGGCCUAUUCUUGGUGAUAUACUUGUAAUUGCGGGCACAGUUUUCUUUGCAUUGAGCAAUGUUGGUGAGGAAUUUUGUGUGAAGAAAAAAGAUCGUGUUGAAGUGGUUGCCCUACUUAGUCUUUUUGCAAUGCUUGUGAGUAUUGGGGAGAUAGCUGUCAUGGAGCGUAAGAGUCUGGAAUCUGUAAAGUGGUCUGCAGAAAUUAUAUUGGCCUUCUUUGGUUACGCAGCCGCAAGCUUUACAUUCUACUCAGUCGUUCCUUUCGUCUUGAAGAUGAGUGGAGCCACUCUCUUCAAUCUCUCUAUUCUCACGUCUGACAUGUGGGCAGUUGUCAUUCGGAUAUUUUUCUACAAGCAGCAGGUUGACUGGCUUUACUAUUUAGCUUUUGCACUUGUGUUUGUUGGCCUGAUUAUAUACUCUAAAAGAGUUGCAUCUUCGUGUAACUUUCAAUGCCUUGGGGGAUUCGACAGUGAGAAGAAUCCAGCUGCUGCUGCUGCUGCUGCUGAGGAUGGAGACCCCAACUCACAAUGCCCGUUGCUUGAUGAAGAAACCACAGAUUUCAGGAACCAGGCCGUGUCUUCAUGAAUUUGAAUCAGAAGAGGCAAGAAGGGUAUUCUCACUGCUGAUAGACUGGGGAUGAAGUUCAAAGCUGCUGCUAGGCAAUACAAUAUGAAUGUGCCUGAAGAUAUGAAAGCUCGAAUUGUUGUUUUGAUUGAUGUAGUAGUGCGAAACUGCAAAUUAUAUAUUUACUCGUGUUAUUAUCUCCGCACAUAUUCUUUUUGGUUCUGAUCUCAUAUUUAAGGGACUGACAUAUGAAAACAAAUAGUAUAACAAUUUGAUGUCGAAAUCAAUUCCCAUUCUUUCUUGG
Molecule: RNA transcript, 1657 nt
Organism: Coffea eugenioides
Lineage: Eukaryota; Viridiplantae; Streptophyta; Magnoliopsida; Gentianales; Rubiaceae
Gene name: solute carrier family 35 member F1-like
Exons: 12
Source: RefSeq, a predicted model, not a curated record